AUGUCAGAGGAGGCGGCGAGGAGCAGGGUCCUGGUGGUCGGCGCCACCGGCCGCCUCGGGGGAAGCCUCGUGCGCGCGAGCCUCGCCGCCGGCCACCCCACCUUCGCGCUCAUUCGCCCGCACUACUUCGCUCUCCCCGACUCCGCCCCUCUCAAGCCGCUCGCCGCGGCCGGCGCCACCAUCCUCAAGGGGUCGCUGGACGAUUACUGGAGCUUGCUGGAAGCCGUGCGGCAGGUGGACGUGGUCAUCUGCGCGGUGCCCACGAAGCAUGCGCUCGAGCAGAAGCCUCUGAUUCGGGCUAUAAAGGAAGCUGGGUGCGUGAAGAGAUUUAUUCCGGCGGAAUUUGGAGUUGAUCACACAAAGGUGCAGAUUUGUGACAUGGACCAUGGCUUCUAUGAGAAGAAAGCUGAAAUCCGCCGUUUAAUAGAGAGCGAGGAUAUUCCUCACACGUACAUCUACUGCAACUUCCUGAUGCGCUAUUUGCUUCCUUCGCUAGUGCAGCCGGGUUUAGAUGCCCCUCCAAGAGAUGAAGUUACGAUAUUUGGUGGAGGAGAUACUAAAGGUAUCUUCGUUGAAGAGGGCGAUGUGGCUAAAUUUACGGUGUGUACCAUAGAGGACCCCAGAACAUUAAACAUGACAUUGUAUCUGAGACCUCUGGGAAAUAUCUACUCACUGAAUGAAUUGGUUAGCCUCUGGGAGACAAAAAUCAACAAAUGCCUAAAAAAGAUACAUAUAACUGAAGAGCAACUCCUUAAAAACAUUCAGAAUGCACCGUUUCCUCUGAAAAUGGAUUUGAUAUUUAUAUAUUCAGCUUUUGUUAAGGGUGAUCACACGUAUUUUGAAAUUGACUCAAGAAGUGAAGGAACUCAACUGUAUCCUGAUGUAAAGUAUACCACAGUUAGCGAGUACUUGGAUACACUAGUUUAG
RNAcentral lists this ribosomal RNA (927 nucleotides) under Triticum aestivum (bread wheat). RNAcentral's name for it is "partial small subunit ribosomal RNA". The record is from RNAcentral. Lineage: Eukaryota; Viridiplantae; Streptophyta; Magnoliopsida; Poales; Poaceae.